GCUUGGAGAGUCUCACGUUGACCGGCUUGGCUUCGGUUCGGGGUGAGGAACGGAGAGAAGAGAAGCUUGUGUGUAUCCGGAGCCGCGACAUGGAAAUAGUCGCGAUAAAUCGCUCGCUACGAACUAUUCCAUUAUAAAGCAGCAUGCCUCGAGGUAUUCUGUUCGAGAUGAUUGGGUGAGAUUGGCUGCACCAUCGAGAUCGGUUAACGAUAAACUUGGAUCAUCAAAGAAGAUAAGAGG
Molecule: long non-coding RNA, 240 nt
Filed under: Polistes fuscatus (common paper wasp)
Lineage: Eukaryota; Metazoa; Arthropoda; Insecta; Hymenoptera; Vespidae
Description: uncharacterized LOC122522545
Source: RNAcentral